UAGGGAAUCUUCCGCAAUGGACGCAAGUCUGACGGAGCAACGCCGCGUGAGUGAAGAAGGAUUUCGGUUCGUAAAACUCUGUUGUUAGAGAAGAACAGCGCAUAGAGUAACUGUUAUGCGUGUGACGGUAUCUAACCAGAAAGCCACGGCUAACUACGUGCCAGCAGCCGCGGUAAUACGUAGGUGGCAAGCGUUGUCCGGAUUUAUUGGGCGUAAAGCGAGCGCAGGCGGUCAAUUAAGUCUGAUGUGAAAGCCCCCGGCUCAACCGGGGAGGUCAUUGGAAACUGGUUGACUUGAGUGCAGAAGAGGAGAGUGGAAUUCCAUGUGUAGCGGUGAAAUGCGUAGAUAUAUGGAGGAACACCAGUGGCGAAGGCGACUCUCUGGUCUGUAACUGACGCUGAGGCUCGAAAGCGUGGGUAGCAAACAGG
Molecule: ribosomal RNA, 428 nt
Filed under: Bacteroidota bacterium
Lineage: Bacteria; Pseudomonadati; Bacteroidota
Description: Bacteroidetes bacterium partial 16S ribosomal RNA
Rfam family: Bacterial small subunit ribosomal RNA
Source: RNAcentral